GUCCACGCCCUAAACGAUGCAGGUUUGCUGUUUCGAGUAUCGACCCUCGGAGCGGCGGAGCUAACGCGUUAAACCUGCCGCCUGGGAAGUACGGCCGCAAGGCUAAAACUCAAAGGAAUAGACGGGGACUCGCACAAGCGGUGGAACAUGUGGUUUAAUUCGACAGUAAGCGAAGAACCUUACCAGGGCUUGAAAUGCUUUUGACAGCUGCCGGAAACGGUGGCCUUCUCUCAAGGACAAAAAGCACAGGUGCUGCAUGGUUGUCGU
Molecule: ribosomal RNA, 267 nt
Filed under: uncultured bacterium
Lineage: Bacteria
Description: partial 16S ribosomal RNA
Rfam family: Bacterial small subunit ribosomal RNA
Source: RNAcentral